CGAGUACAGCAAACCAUCAAUAAUAAAACAAUAUACCAAAACUAAAGAAAUAAAAGCAAAGAAAAUAAAAUGAAAACAAAAAAGUCCAAUAAAAAUGGGAAAGGAAAUGUAACCAGGAAAUUGAUCUCCACCCUUCUGAAGCUGCCUUAAAGGUCCUCCACUGCACCACAAAAAGCUUCCACAGAAAGUUGUUCAUUCAUCUGUGCACGUGCCUCUUUGUCC
Molecule: long non-coding RNA, 222 nt
Filed under: Vigna radiata
Lineage: Eukaryota; Viridiplantae; Streptophyta; Magnoliopsida; Fabales; Fabaceae
Description: long non-coding RNA (VRAD_LNC012401)
Source: RNAcentral